AUGGCGGCUGGAGGCGGGGCCGGUGGUCGCCGGCGGCGAGAAAUGUGGAGAAGGGAAAGGGGAAUCGAGUGGCUCGCGGCGGCGGCGGGACAGGGUUUGGACCCGCAAAAGGGUCACGGAACCGCAGUUAUACUGCUCGGGGCGUGCGGUUUGCGGGCUGCGGCAAAAAAAUUUGCGGGCUGCGGCAAAUUUUUUUGCGGGCCGAGCAAGUAUGCGGGCUCUGUUCUGGCCGAAAAAUUGGGCCGAGCCCACAUACUCGCCGGAAUUUUUGCGGGCCGGGUGUUUUGCGGAGUCUGCUAG
RNAcentral lists this ribosomal RNA (300 nucleotides) under Triticum aestivum (bread wheat). RNAcentral's name for it is "partial small subunit ribosomal RNA". The record is from RNAcentral. Lineage: Eukaryota; Viridiplantae; Streptophyta; Magnoliopsida; Poales; Poaceae.